Molecule: ribosomal RNA, 119 nt
Filed under: Saimiri boliviensis boliviensis (Bolivian squirrel monkey)
Lineage: Eukaryota; Metazoa; Chordata; Mammalia; Primates; Cebidae
Source: RNAcentral
GCCUAUGCUCAUACCACUCUGAAUGUGCCUGAUCGCAUCUGAUCUUGAAAGCUAAGCAGGGUCUGGACUGGUUAGUACUUGGAUGGGAGACCAAAUAGUAACAAUAAAAUGUCUUGUCU